This 88-nucleotide transfer RNA is filed under the name Desulfarculus sp. RNAcentral describes it as "tRNA-Leu". It matches the Rfam family "tRNA". From Rfam's summary of the family: Transfer RNA (tRNA) molecules are approximately 80 nucleotides in length. Their secondary structure includes four short double-helical elements and three loops (D, anti-codon, and T loops). Further hydrogen bonds mediate the characteristic L-shaped molecular structure. tRNAs have two regions of fundamental functional importance: the anti-codon, which is responsible for specific mRNA codon recognition, and the 3' end, to which the tRNAs corresponding amino acid is attached (by aminoacyl-tRNA synthetases). tRNAs cope with the degeneracy of the genetic code in two manners: having more than one tRNA (with a specific anti-codon) for a particular amino acid; and 'wobble' base-pairing, i.e. permitting non-standard base-pairing at the 3rd anti-codon position. The record is from RNAcentral. Lineage: Bacteria; Pseudomonadati; Thermodesulfobacteriota; Desulfarculia; Desulfarculales; Desulfarculaceae.
GCCUGGGUGGCGAAAUUGGUAUACGCAGGGGACUUAAAAUCCCCAGGGAUAACAUCCCGUGCGGGUUCGACUCCCGCCCCAGGCACCA